GUCUUUGGACAUACCACCCUGAAUGCACCCGAUCUCAUCUGAUCUUGGAAGUGAAAUGGAGUCAGGCCUGGUUAGUCUUUGGAUGGGGGAAGUCUAGACACA
RNAcentral lists this ribosomal RNA (102 nucleotides) under Gorilla gorilla gorilla (western lowland gorilla). The record is from RNAcentral. Lineage: Eukaryota; Metazoa; Chordata; Mammalia; Primates; Hominidae.